AUUGAACGCUGGCGGCACGCCUAACACAUGCAAGUCGAGCGGUAACAUGGAUGGUAGCAAUACCAUCUGAUGACGAGCGGCGGACGGGUGAGGAAUAUGUAGGAACUUGCCCAAAAGAGGGGGACAACCAAGGGAAACUUUGGCUAAUACCGCAUAAACUCGGAAGAGUAAAGCAGCCUGUAAGGGUUGCGCUUUUGGAGAGGCCUGCACCCGAUUAGCUAGUUGGUGAGGUAAGAGCUCACCAAGGCAAUGAUCGGUAACUGGUCUGAGAGGACGGCCAGUCACACUGGGACUGAGACACGGCCCAGACUCCUACGGGAGGCAGCAGUGGGGAAUAUUGGACAAUGGGGGCAACCCUGAUCCAGCGAUGCCGUGUGGGUGAAGAAGGCCUUCGGGUUGUAAAGCCCUUUAGGUUGGGAGGAAGGGUGUAGUCGGAUAAUGAUUACACUUUGACAGUACCGACAGAAUAAGCACCGGCAAACUCUGUGCCAGCCGCCGCGGUAA
RNAcentral lists this ribosomal RNA (504 nucleotides) under uncultured bacterium. Its description in RNAcentral is "partial 16S ribosomal RNA". It matches the Rfam family "Bacterial small subunit ribosomal RNA", at positions 30 to 523 of the family's 1533-position model. The record is from RNAcentral.